This is a long non-coding RNA of Papaver somniferum (opium poppy), 1941 nucleotides long. RefSeq lists it as uncharacterized. The transcript is spliced from 2 exons. The record is from RefSeq and is a predicted model, not a curated record. Lineage: Eukaryota; Viridiplantae; Streptophyta; Magnoliopsida; Ranunculales; Papaveraceae.
UUAUUGUUAUGUGUAGCAGACGGUCUUUUCUUGUUGUACCUUAACCAACAUCUCUGGCAAGUCUAGCAUUCUUACCCUGCCGUCACUAGUCUUUUUUGAAAUUCCUCUCUCUCUUGUUUUUUUUCUAGGAAGGAGUAAGGACUAUUUAUGUUACUCCUCCCUUCUCUCUUCUUUAUGCUGAAUCAACUCUUUCAUCUGUUUCUUCUUCCUUCUUUCUGCUAAUCAAAAUCCAUCCUUGGACCUCAUCCUUCUACCCUUUUUUAAGAAACCUUCUACAACUAUUGUAGAAGGACAACAUUUUCUCUUGAGGAUAUACGCAAAGCUCUUAUGUCUUAGUGAGGGAACAACAAUAGGUUUAUCAUCUCGCGUAUCUGUGACAAUCAUUUUAAGAUCAGUUUUGAAAAACAUGAAUCUAAAUCUUGGAUAAAUAUGAUUAAUUACUGGUUCAUAUAUGGUGAUGUUAUAACUGUCACUUCUUGGUACCCCUCUAUUUAUAUCCCAUGCCGCGGUCUUCGUUUCAUAACAACUUGGUUCUCAGUCCAUGAUCUCCAGCCAUAUAUGCAAAACGAAAUAGUAGUUUCCCAAAUAGCUUCUAAGGUAGGAUUAAUAUCGUGCAAGAGGCCAGUUAGUUGCAUUCCCUUAGAGGAUGGCACAAUAAGAAUAAAGGCAAUGAUAAACAUAGAGAGACCCUUAGUGAAACAAGUUAUAGCAUCAGUUGGUGGAUCUCCUAGAAUCAGUGUUAACUUUAGUUUCCAUAACCUUUCGUAUAAGUUUUGUAUCUAUUGCUUCCAAUUCGCACACCGGAUCGACCAUUGCCCCAUCCUCCAUGAUGGUGUGCUCGACGAUAUUUAUGACCCCAGCCUUCAAUCUCCUGAGGUAGAAGAAGACCCAGACGCUUAGUUUCAUGGUCACUUGGACCCUAGCUUAAAGGUGGAUUUUUUUUGAGAGUCUCUCUAUUCAUGAAAAUGUAGUAAUGUCAAGCCCCUUUAACUCCUCUAAUCUUGUUCUCUAGGGGGACCUAUUUCUUUCAUGCUCUAGUGCUUCUUACUUCCAUGAUGCUCCUGCAUCUCCCUCUAUUCUUGGUAAACGCGAUCACAGCUCCGAAAGCUUUAGCAGUUCCUCUUUCUCUCUGCUUAAAAGAUUAUGCUGUGAGCUAGGUGAAACUUCAUCUAAUGUUUGUUCUAGUGGUCUUUGCAUUCGUGAAGGCCCUUUUCCUCUUAUGGGUCUGAUCCGCUCUCCGAUCCGACCCACUUAUCCCUCGGCUUCUUUUCGUCUUCGGGUUGAUGACUUAGAUUCAGACAUCUAUAGUGAAAAUUCCAACUCCCCUUCCCUAGCUCUGUUAGUGGUUGAUCAGUAUGGUUCCAAUUUCAAGGAUGAUGAAGUGCAUGAGUCGGGAAGUCUCGAGAUGAUAAUGAACACUGCGCCAACAAAGAACCAAUCUACAAAAAAGCAGGAGAUGGACUCCAAGGGAAACGAGAUGGAAGGGUUACAGAGCUCAAAAUCAGGAUGAGAUGGACGCCCAGGCAAUGCUAGAAGCUCUAAAUUGGACAAAACAGCUUGGCUACAACAACAUGCAGAUAAAAGGGAAAACUGCCAGACUUACUAAGGCAGUUAAAGGGGACUACAACACCAUCAGCUGGACGACCUUAACUAGAAUAGAAGAAAUCAAAAAUUGUAUCGAGGAUCUACAGGAUUCGAACAAAAAUGUAGUAGUUAUUAACUGUUAUAAGGAAGCCAACAAGGCAGCUACUGCAUUAGCUAACACGGCAAAUGCAACGGUAACCUUGAAUUACUCUGGCUAUCCUCCUAGCUUUCUUUUUGAAACUCUUUCGAGUGACAGGUUCUUGGCCUUGAAAACUAUUUCAAGGACAAACGAUAUGUAUCCAAACUCCAUCUAAUCUAUUUUUCUUACCAAAAAAAAGGACACUGGCUUAACAGAUA